UCCCUGGUGGUCUAGUGGCUAGAAGUUCGACGCUCUCCGCCCCGCGGCCCGGGUUCGAUUCCCGGUCAGGGAA
Molecule: transfer RNA, 73 nt
Filed under: Anguilla anguilla (European eel)
Lineage: Eukaryota; Metazoa; Chordata; Actinopteri; Anguilliformes; Anguillidae
Description: tRNA-OTHER
Source: RNAcentral